Molecule: ribosomal RNA, 420 nt
Filed under: Puntius mahecola
Lineage: Eukaryota; Metazoa; Chordata; Actinopteri; Cypriniformes; Cyprinidae
Description: partial large subunit ribosomal RNA
Rfam family: Bacterial large subunit ribosomal RNA
Source: RNAcentral
GCCAAACGAGGGCUUAACUGUCUCCCCUUUCAAGUCAGUGAAAUUGAUCUGCCCGUGCAGAAGCGGACAUAAUAAUACAAGACGAGAAGACCCUAUGGAGCUUAAGGCAUAAAACUCAUUCACGCCUAAAACUCCGCAAAAGUUAACAAGCCCAGUGAUAAAUGAGACCAUGCCUUCGGUUGGGGCGACCAUGGAGGAAAAUAAAGCCUCAAAGAAGAAUGGGGUUAAACCCUUAAACCAAGAGACACAUCUCUAAGCUUCAGAACAUCUGACCAUAAAUGAUCCGGCCAACCAAGACCGAUCAACGAACCAAGUUACCCUAGGGAUAACAGCGCAAUCCUCUCUGAGAGUUCGUAUCGACGAGGGGGUUUACGACCUCGAUGUUGGAUCAGGACAUCCUAAUGGUGCAGCAGCUAUUAA